CCUACGGGCGGCAGCAGUGAGGAAUAUUGGUCAAUGGGCGGGAGCCUGAACCAGCCAAGUCGCGUGAAGGCUGACAGCCCUAUGGGUUUUAAACUUCUUUUAUAAGGGCAUAAAGUGCCCCACGUGUAGGGUUAUGUAUGUACCUUAUGAAUAAGCCUCGGCUAAUUCCGUGCCAGCAGCCGCGGUAAUACGGAAGAUGCGAGCGUUAUCCGGAUUUAUUGGGUUUAAAGGGAGCGUAGGCGGUUCCAUAAGUCAGCGGGAAAAUCAUGCGGCUCAACCGUACCGUGCCGUUGAAACUGUGGGACUAGAGAAUGCGCAGGGUACACGGAAUACGUGGUGUAGCGGUGAAAUGCUUAGAUAUCACGAAGAACUCCGAUCGCGAAGGCAUUGUACCGGAGCAAGACUGACGCUGAGGCUCGAAAGCGCGGGUAGCAAACAGGAUUAGAUACCCGGGUAGUC
Molecule: ribosomal RNA, 459 nt
Filed under: uncultured bacterium
Lineage: Bacteria
Description: partial 16S ribosomal RNA
Rfam family: Bacterial small subunit ribosomal RNA
Source: RNAcentral